This 427-nucleotide unclassified non-coding RNA is filed under the name plant metagenome. RNAcentral's name for it is "partial contains 5.8S ribosomal RNA, internal transcribed spacer 2, and large subunit ribosomal RNA". It matches the Rfam family "Bacterial small subunit ribosomal RNA", at positions 358 to 777 of the family's 1533-position model. The record is from RNAcentral.
GGAAUAUUGCACAAUGGGCGCAAGCCUGAUGCAGCCAUGCCGCGUGUAUGAAGAAGGCCUUAGGGUUGUAAAGUACUUUCAGCGGGGAGGAAGGCGAUAAGGUUAAUAACCUUGUCGAUUGACGUUACCCGCAGAAGAAGCACCGGCUAACUCCGUGCCAGCAGCCGCGGUAAUACGGAGGGUGCAAGCGUUAAUCGGAAUUACUGGGCGUAAAGCGCACGCAGGCGGUUUGUUAAGUCAGAUGUGAAAUCCCCGGGCUCAACCUGGGAACUGCAUCUGAUACUGGCGAGCUUGAGUCUCGUAGAGGGGGGUAGAAUUCCAGGUGUAGCGGUGAAAUGCGUAGAGAUCUGGAGGAAUACCGGUGGCGAAGGCGGCCCCCUGGACGAAGACUGACGCUCAGGUGCGAAAGCGUGGGGAGCAAACAGGA